RNA transcript from Malania oleifera, 1993 nucleotides. It is a transcript of the gene named two-pore potassium channel 1, with no coding region annotated. NCBI's taxonomy places the organism in Eukaryota, Viridiplantae, Streptophyta, Magnoliopsida, Santalales, Ximeniaceae. The record is from RefSeq and is a predicted model, not a curated record. The transcript is spliced from 4 exons.
UAAUGGCGCCAGGUCAGGGUUACUUCCGGACUUCCUUCCAGUAGCUUCUGAGCGGUAGCGUCGGGUAGGGAAUUCCUUCAUUGGAAGAUGAUGAUUCAUUCUUGAUGUGCCUGCAGGUCUGGUAAACAUGGCAAGUUGAAAUACUUGAACCUCUGUAGCUUCAAAUUAUUUGUAUGUAUUCUGAAUCUAGUUCGUGAUUGAUGAUUCACUGUAAUGGCCCCCAAUGGUGGAAGGCACUCAUUACUGUCAGGAUUAUUGGAUCCUGCCCCUCAGACCUCUAAGAAGCCUGCUCCAAAGAGAAAAUAUCGACGCUGUAAAAGUGCUCCUACUGCUGAAUAUGUUCCUCCACAAGUAAAUGGAACGGGAUCACUCCCACCUUCUGUAUCCAUUCUUGGGAAACUCCACCCCAGUUUUAGGCAAGUAGCCACAUUCUUGGCCGUUUACCUUGGUGUCGGUACUAUAUGUUUCUACUUCAUCAGGCACCAGAUCAAAGGGAAGAAAACAAAUGGGAUUCUGGAUGCUAUUUAUUUCUGUAUUGUGACAAUGACAACAGUUGGAUAUGGAGACCUUGUGCCCAACAGUGUUCCUACCAAACUACUUGCAUGUGCUUUUGUCUUCACAGGAAUGGCCCUGAUUGGAUUAAUCCUUACAAAGGCAGCAGAUUACCUAGUAGAGAAGCAGGAAAGGUUGACGGUUAAAGCAUUACACCAGCUCCAUAUGGAUGGCCAAAGGGAGAUUCUCGAGGAGAUAGAACCCAACAGAGUGAGGCACAAAUGUUUUGUGGUUCUUAUUGUUCUUUUGGUGCUGAUGAUUACCGGAACGAUCUUCCUGUGUUCGGUCGAGAAUUUGGACUUUGUUGAUGCAUUUUACUGUGUCUGUUCUACCAUCACAACCCUUGGCUAUGGAGACAAGAGCUUCUCGACUAAAGCAGGGCGUGUAUUUGCUAUAGUUUGGAUAUUGACCAGUACUAUUUGUUUAGCUCAGUUCUUCCUCUAUCUUGCUGAACUGAAGACUGAAAGCAGACGGAGGUCACUGGUUAAAUGGGUUCUUACCCGAAGAAUGACAAAUGUAGAUUUGGAAGCAGCUGAUCUUGAUGAUGAUGGGGUUGUUAGUGUUGCGGAAUUCAUCAUAUAUAAGCUCAGAGAGAUGGAUAAGAUUAGCCAAGAAGAUAUUUCACUUGUAAUAGAGGAAUUUGAAGAUCUUGAUGUUGAUCAGUCGGGAACACUGUCAGUAUCAGACAUAAUGCUUGCACAGUCUUCGUAAACUAGAGGAUAACUAGAACAAUCAAUUUUAUAGAGCAUCUACUCUUGCACUUGUGAAAAAUUACAAUUAGAGAGUUCAUCCUCAAAACCUAAGUAUUAAGGAGAGAGAGAUUUAAGAGGAUUUUUAUUCUGGCUUGAGACGAUUUACAGAGGCGAUGUGGGACUGGACGGUACACCAACACUCCCCCUCGAGCCCAUGGGGGGAAAUGAGGCGAGAAAGAGUCCAACCCACGGAAGAACCAAGCAGCCCAAGGCCCAGCUCUAAUACCAAAUUUGAGAGUUCAUCCUCAAAACCUAGGUAUUAAAGAGAGAGAGCUAAGAGGAUUUUUAUACUAGCUUGAGAUUGCUUACAGAGGCGACGUGGGAUUGGACGUACACCAACAUAGACAAAAAUGAGUUUUAUCAUAAAUUCAGAGAAUUUGUGGGCUUGGAUUCAAUAUCCAUAGCGAUCCAGGGGAUUGAUAACACGUUUAUUGUUAAAUUCUUUCAAAUUUACAUUCCUAGAAUUUUGCAUGUAUAAAAAAUAUAUGGCUUCUAAACUGUUCUCAUAUGAUGCAGAAAAUAUAGAUGCUACUAUAUGUGAAUUCCUCAUUGGAUUUGCAUCUUGUUGGCUUCUUGCUUGUAUGUUGGAUAGUGCAAAACUUUAAAAAUUUGAAAUCAUUGUAUUGAGCUUGUGCUAGCUAUGAUGCUGAUGAAUAAAUUUUAUCUGUAGCAAUGGAGUUAGAUUGCAA